GACGAACGCUGGCGGCGUGCCUAAUACAUGCAAGUAGAACGCUGAAGAGAGGAGCUUGCUCUUCUUGGAUGAGUUGCGAACGGGUGAGUAACGCGUAGGUAACCUGCCUUGUAGCGGGGGAUAACUAUUGGAAACGAUAGCUAAUACCGCAUAACAAUGGAUGACACAUGUCAUUUAUUUGAAAGGGGCAAUUGCUCCACUACAAGAUGGACCUGCGUUGUAUUAGCUAGUAGGUGAGGUAAUGGCUCACCUAGGCGACGAUACAUAGCCGACCUGAGAGGGUGAUCGGCCACACUGGGACUGAGACACGGCCCAGACUCCUACGGGAAGCAGCAGUAGGGAAUCUUCGGCAAUGGGGGCAACCCUGACCGAGCAACGCCGCGUGAGUGAAGAAGGUUUUCGGAUCGUAAAGCUCUGUUGUAAGUCAAGAACGGGUGUGAGAGUGGAAAGUUCACACUGUGACGGUAGCUUAGCAGAAAGGGACGGCUAACUACGUG
RNAcentral lists this ribosomal RNA (497 nucleotides) under uncultured bacterium. RNAcentral's name for it is "partial 16S ribosomal RNA". It matches the Rfam family "Bacterial small subunit ribosomal RNA", at positions 28 to 507 of the family's 1533-position model. The record is from RNAcentral.